GACGAACGCUGGCGGCGGGCUUAACACAUGCAAGUCGAACGGAAAGGCCCUGCGUUUGUGGGGUUCUCGAGUGGCGAACGGGUGAGUAACACGUGAGUAACCUGCCCUUGACUUUGGGAUAACUUCAGGAAAGUGGGGCUAAUACCGUAUAGGAUCUCCUGUUGCAUGGUGGGGGGUGGAAAGUCUCGGCUGGUGGGGAUGGACUUGCGGCUGAUCAGCUAGUUGGUGGGGUGGUGGCUCACCCAGGCGACGACCGGUAGCUGGCCUGAGAGGGUGAUCCGCCACCCUGGAACUGAGACACGGGCCAGACUCCUACGGGAGGCAGCAGUGGGGAAUAUUGGACAAUGGGCGCAAGCCUGCUCCAGCCCUACCGCGUGGGUGAAGAAGGCCUUCGGGUUGUAAAGCCCUUUUGUUGGGAAAGAAAAGCAGCAGGUUAAUACCCCGCUGUUCUGACGGGACCCAAAGAAUAAGCACCGGCUAACUUCGUG
This 488-nucleotide ribosomal RNA is filed under the name uncultured bacterium. Its description in RNAcentral is "partial 16S ribosomal RNA". It matches the Rfam family "Bacterial small subunit ribosomal RNA", at positions 28 to 507 of the family's 1533-position model. The record is from RNAcentral.